UGGAUCCAGACUUGAUUCUGGCUCAGGAUGAACGCUAGCUACAGGCUUAACACAUGCAAGUCGAGGGGAAACGACAUCGAAAGCUUGCUUUUGAUGGGCGUCGACCGGCGCACGGGUGAGUAACGCGUAUCCAACCUGCCCACCACUUGGGGAUAACCUUGCGAAAGUAAGACUAAUACCCAAUGACGUCUCUAGAAGACAUCUGAAGGAGAUUAAAGAUUUAUCGGUGAUGGAUGGGGAUGCGUCUGAUUAGCUUGUUGGCGGGGUAACGGCCCACCAAGGCGACGAUCAGUAGGGGUUCUGAGAGGAAGGUCCCCCACAUUGGAACUGAGACACGGUCCAAACUCCUACGGGAGGCAGCAGUGAGGAAUAUUGGUCAAUGGGCGAGAGCCUGAACCAGCCAAGUAGCGUGCAGGAAGACGGCCCUAUGGGUUGUAAACUGCUUUUAUGCGGGGAUAAAGUGAGUCACGUGUGGCUUAUUGCANGUACCGCAUGAAUAAGAACCGGCUAAUUCCGUGCCAGCAGCCGCGGUAAUACGGAAGGU
Molecule: ribosomal RNA, 544 nt
Filed under: uncultured organism
Description: bacterial SSU rRNA
Rfam family: Bacterial small subunit ribosomal RNA
Source: RNAcentral